This 492-nucleotide ribosomal RNA is filed under the name uncultured bacterium. RNAcentral's name for it is "partial 16S ribosomal RNA". It matches the Rfam family "Bacterial small subunit ribosomal RNA", at positions 28 to 507 of the family's 1533-position model. The record is from RNAcentral.
GAUGAACGCUAGCUACAGGCUUAACACAUGCAAGUCGAGGGGAAACGACAUCGAAAGCUUGCUUUUGAUGGGCGUCGACCGGCGCACGGGUGAGUAACGCGUAUCCAACCUGCCCAUCACUUGGGAAUAACCUUGCGAAAGUAAGACUAAUACCCAAUGACAUCCCACGAAGACAUCUGAAUGGGAUUAAAGAUUUAUCGGUGAUGGAUGGGGAUGCGUCUGAUUAGCUUGUUGGCGGGGUAACGGCCCACCAAGGCAACGAUCAGUAGGGGUUCUGAGAGGAAGGUCCCCCACAUUGGAACUGAGACACGGUCCAAACUCCUACGGGAGGCAGCAGUGAGGAAUAUUGGUCAAUGGGCGAGAGCCUGAACCAGCCAAGUAGCGUGCAGGAUGACGGCCCUAUGGGUGGUAAACUGCUUUUAUAAGGGAAUAAAGUGGGUCUCGGGAGACUUUUUGCAUGUACCUUAUGAAUAAGGACCGGCUAAUUCCGUG